ACCACACGAGCCAGGAGAAGAAUCUCAAGAAGACGUGCAUCCAAGUUAGGUUUCCCAUCCAGAAGGUCAGCUUCAUGUCCCGACACGCGGCGCUGAGCAGCCUCUUUGGCGACGAUCCCUUCUUCAGCCAGGGCGGGCUCUUGUGGCCCCUUUCCUCGCUGCGCCAGGACCUCCUCAACCGCAAAGCGGAGCUGGCCGACACGUUCUUCAAGGACGGACCUCGACUCUUGAACUCACCUCUCACGGGCUCCGCUUUCCUCAGAAUGAGCGACCAAGAAGACGCCGAAGAAGAGGAGCCACAGCGUCAGGUCCAGCGGGCUUCGCCGCACGACGACCUCCUGGUGACCCUGGACGCCCGCGGUUACGCCCCGGGCGACAUCAGCGUCAAACUGGAGGGACGCAACCUGCUGGUGAUGGCCACCAAGCAGGCGGGCGCUCAGGAAGCUCACUCCUGCUCCUCCGCGUCCUCGCGAGCCUCCUUCGCCUCCUCGGCCGCCUCGCGUCUGGGCUUCAAGCAGAAGAUCCACCUGUCGCCUCACCUGGACCUGUCCGGACUGUCCUGCUCCCUCAUGGAGGACGGACAGCUGCGUAUCCACGCCCCGGUGGCUAGGCGGCCGAUCACGGAGGGGCCCCAUGAGCCAAUCGCGGAGGAGCACAAAGAGCCACUGGAGGCUCGCCAAGAGCCAAUCACGGAGGAGCGAGAGGAGACUCCUCCUCUUUUCAGAACUGCCCUGGAAUUCCCCAUCACUAAGGAGCAGACUGAGGCCCAACACACACACUAGCACACAAACACACACACAGCCUUAAGUCAAUUAAAGACCUACGACUUCACUCUAAAAACAUCAUUAUAGUUGCACUGCACUUGUUUUCCAUGUCUUGUAUUACUUUAUAACAUCCAAGUGCUGAAAAGGCUUCACGUAAGACUUAAUUAGAGACAUUUUAUGUCAUCGGGAAAGUGUUUUUUUUCCCUUCUUUUUGUUACGUUUUGAUGUGCAGCACAGUUUCACCAAUUUGCAUUCUCAAGGUUUCAUUUUCAUGUAACCCGCCUCUCGCCCAAAGCCAACUGGGAUUGGCUCAGCUCAGCCAACCGCGACAUUAGUGAAUUUAAAACGGAACAGGAAAUUGAAUGAUGGAUGGUUUAAUUUGCCAUGCAAUCCAAAUAGCAACAGACGACAUUUUUUUUUUUUUUUUGGAUGUACUUACAGCAAAGUUUCUCAAACUGGGGUCAACGGACCCUCGGGGGUCCUCGAGCCAUUUUAAGUUUUUAAAAAGUUCAUACCCAUAUAUGGGGACCAGCACACCAAUAAAACAAACUGAGUUAAAUUACUUCUGCCUACCUUAACCUCAGUCCAAUCAAAAGCUCUGAUAUGAUUGUGACGUAUCACAUAAAUCUAACAUAUCCCUUUUUUAUUUUUUUUAUUUUUUUUUAAAGAGGAUAUAGAUGUUAUUUUCCAGAAUAAAAUGUGAAAUAUUAUGACUAAUAAAGUUGUAUUUUGGGAAAUUUACAAGGUAAAAUAUUACUUACGGCUUUAUCUUGGAACAAUACUACUGUAUUCUCGGAAGAUUACAAGCUUUUUCUCUAUUUUAAUGUGUUUUAGUUACAUUAUGACUUUAUUUCUCAAAAAUUGCCAAUGUUUUGUUUAGGUUUUAAUGUUUAAUUCCUACGGCAUUUAGGGGUGCACAUGGUGAUUGUGUGGUGGAAUAUUUGAUACAGCUCUUACAUUGGAUUUCACGACAUUGUGUAAGUCGUCAUAAUGUAGUGGCUGGUUGGAAUCCAUAUCAAAUUUUCAUUUUUUCCCAAUGAAUUAAGGUUUAUAUUCAUUCGUAACGAAUAAAAGAAUUGGAAUAAAUUAUUGCUGCUUUUGUUGGUGCAUGAAAAUGUGAAAAGUGUGUGUUUGCAGCCUCAAGAGGAAAGUAAAUGCUUAUCAGAUGUGCGUAUUUUCAAAGUGUUGUGCAUUUGAGCUGAUAAGACAUUGCUGCGUGUCUGCCAAGUGUUUGCAUACUUGACCCGCUGCAUUGACGCCAAUGGGAUUGACUCUCAGGGCACAAACGAAGAUUUGAACCCACAUGCUAAAUUCAUUAAAUUGCAUAUAUUUUUGAAAAAAAUCUUCCAAACGAAUGAUACUUUGAGUCAAUGUUCCACUUUAGAAUUGGAGUAAUAUGCUCUGACCUCUUUGUUCUGGUCAGAACCCGAGCUGCAGCAUUCUGAAUGAGCUGCAGCUGUUUAACGCUCUUUUUAGGGAGUCCAGUCAGAAGACCAUUACAAUAGUCAAGUCUACUUGACAUAAAACCAUGGAUGAGCUUCUCCUGGUCUGCUUGACACAUGCAAGCCUUCCCUCUGGAUAUGUUCUUCAGAUGGUAGAAGGCAGUUUUAGUAAUGUAUUUGAUAUGACUGUUGAAAGUCAGGUCGGAAUCUAUCAGAACACCAAGGUUUCGGACUUGGUCUUUGGUUUUUAAAGAGAGUGACUCCAGGUAGGACUUGAACCAUUUAAGGACUGUUCCAUAAAGGAUCAAUUUUGCC
Molecule: RNA transcript, 2521 nt
Organism: Phycodurus eques (leafy seadragon)
Lineage: Eukaryota; Metazoa; Chordata; Actinopteri; Syngnathiformes; Syngnathidae
Gene: hspb9
Gene name: heat shock protein, alpha-crystallin-related, 9
Exons: 3
Source: RefSeq, a predicted model, not a curated record